AAUCGAAGCCAUGGAUCAUGAAAACUGGUCGGGGGAUUUCUGGCAUGGAUUGAAGCUGGGUCUUUAUGAAAUUGGUUUUUUGUGCAACCAUGAGGCAAGCCUCUAAUCCGAAACAAGAUGCCUAAUUUGAGCAACUCAAGAUAGUGUGCCUU
This is a long non-coding RNA of Papaver somniferum (opium poppy), 152 nucleotides long. RefSeq lists it as uncharacterized. NCBI's taxonomy places the organism in Eukaryota, Viridiplantae, Streptophyta, Magnoliopsida, Ranunculales, Papaveraceae. The transcript has 3 exons. The record is from RefSeq and is a predicted model, not a curated record.